This 65-nucleotide transfer RNA is filed under the name Georissa bangueyensis. Its description in RNAcentral is "tRNA-Lys". Lineage: Eukaryota; Metazoa; Mollusca; Gastropoda; Cycloneritida; Hydrocenidae. The record is from RNAcentral.
CUAAAAUUAGCUUAAGAAAAAGAGCAUUAAAUUUUUAAUUUAGGGGUAUAUAUAUUUAUUUUAGG